UAUAAAAUAGCGGCCAAGUGCGAGUCGGACUCGCCCAUGAAGGGGGUUUACGAUUUAUGACGUAUUAAAAAAAAACUACUUACUAGAUCUCGUUCAAACCAAUUUUCGGUGGAAGUUUGCAUGGUAAUGUACAUCAUAUAUUUUUUUUGUUUUAUCAUUCUCUUAUUUUAGAAG
Molecule: long non-coding RNA, 174 nt
Organism: Cydia splendana
Lineage: Eukaryota; Metazoa; Arthropoda; Insecta; Lepidoptera; Tortricidae
Exons: 2
Source: RefSeq, a predicted model, not a curated record